CUCAAAUUUGAAAUCUGGCUGUCUUCGAUAGUCCGAGUUGUAAUCUAUAGAAGCGUUUUCCGUGCUGAACUGUGUCUAAGUCCCUUGGAACAGGGUAUCAAAGAGGGUGAUAAUCCCGUACUUGACACAAUCAUCAGUGCUCUGUGAUACGUUCUCUACGAGUCGAGUUGUUUGGGAAUGCAGCUCAAAAUGGGUGGUAAAUUCCAUCUAAAGCUAAAUAUUGGCGAGAGACCGAUAGCGAACAAGUACCGUGAGGGAAAGAUGAAAAGCACUUUGGAAAGAGAGUUAAACAGUACGUGAAAUUGUUGAAAGGGAAACGAUUGAAGUCAGUCGUGUUCAUUGGAUUCAGCUAGUUCUUCUAGUCUACUUCCUUUGAACGGGUCAACAUCAGUUUUGUCCGGUGGAUAAAGGAUUUAGGAAUGUGACUCCCUCGGGAGUGUUAUAGCCUAGGUUCACAUACACUGGGUGAGACUGAGGACUGCAGCUCGCCUUUUGGCCGGGGUUCGCCCACGUUCGAGCUUAGGAUGUUGACAUAAUGGCUUUAAACGA
Molecule: ribosomal RNA, 549 nt
Filed under: Apiotrichum montevideense
Lineage: Eukaryota; Fungi; Basidiomycota; Tremellomycetes; Trichosporonales; Trichosporonaceae
Description: eukaryotic LSU rRNA
Rfam family: Eukaryotic large subunit ribosomal RNA
Source: RNAcentral